This 778-nucleotide ribosomal RNA is filed under the name Microbacterium sp. RNAcentral describes it as "bacterial SSU rRNA". It matches the Rfam family "Bacterial small subunit ribosomal RNA", at positions 61 to 845 of the family's 1533-position model. Lineage: Bacteria; Bacillati; Actinomycetota; Actinomycetes; Micrococcales; Microbacteriaceae. The record is from RNAcentral.
GUCGACGAUGAAGCACCAGCUUGCUGGUGUGGAUUAGUGGCGAACGGGUGAGUAACACGUGAGCAACCUGCCCCGGACUUUGGGAUAAGCGCUGGAAACGGCGUCUAAUACCGAAUAUGCACCAUGAAGGCAUCUUCAAUGGUGGGAAAGAUUUAUCGGUCCGGGAGGGGCUCGCGGCCUAUCAGCUUGUUGGUGAGGUAAUGGCUCACCAAGGCGUCGACGGGUAGCCGGCCUGAGAGGGUGACCGGCCACACUGGGACUGAGACACGGCCCAGACUCCUACGGGAGGCAGCAGUGGGGAAUAUUGCACAAUGGGCGCAAGCCUGAUGCAGCAACGCCGCGUGGGGGAUGACGGCCUUCGGGUUGUAAACCCCUUUUAGUAGGGAAGAAGCCUUCGGGUGACGGUACCUGCAGAAAAAGCGCCGGCUAACUACGUGCCAGCAGCCGCGGUAAUACGUAGGGCGCAAGCGUUAUCCGGAAUUAUUGGGCGUAAAGAGCUCGUAGGCGGCUUGUCGCGUCUGCUGUGAAAACUGGAGGCUCAACUUCCAGCGUGCAGUGGGUACGGGCAGGCUAGAGUGCGGUAGGGGAGAUUGGAAUUCCUGGUGUAGCGGUGGAAUGCGCAGAUAUCAGGAGGAACACCGAUGGCGAAGGCAGAUCUCUGGGCCGUAACUGACGCUGAGGAGCGAAAGAGUGGGGAGCGAACAGGCUUAGAUACCCUGGUAGUCCACUCCGUAAACGUUGGGAACUAGUUGUGGGGGGCCUUUCCACGGUCUCCGUG